This 754-nucleotide long non-coding RNA is filed under the name Vigna radiata. RNAcentral's name for it is "long non-coding RNA (VRAD_LNC017253)". Lineage: Eukaryota; Viridiplantae; Streptophyta; Magnoliopsida; Fabales; Fabaceae. The record is from RNAcentral.
AAAAACCAUGCAAAACAAUGCAAAACAAGCAUAAUAUCUCUAAAACUAACUUUUGACUCUCAAGAGACUCAACUUAAGUGUUUCACUUGAUUUAGAGCUCAUUCUAAGCCUCUGAGGGUGUGUUUUACUAUCAAAUUUAAGUAUGAAAAUAACGGUUUUUAGACCGUUAUCACAACCCCAAACUUAGAACUUUGCUUGUCCUCAAGCAAACAAGACAAAACCUGGCUUUCCACAUUUUCAUCAAAUAAUUCACGCUUUCGAAACUCCUUUUUCUCAUGAGAAGUUAUUAAUACAAUUCAGAUUUCAGUGGAAUCCUAAAAAAAUGCAUUCAUACUUUCAAUCCAAAUUAGUUCACAUAAUCAAUCCUUUUCCAAUAGAUGUUUUGUUCACGAAUGAGCAAUCAACUAAACAUAGAUGUAAACAUGGAUUUAACAAUUCGCACCAAGCAAGUUUUUCACUCAAUCACUCAAGUGUUUAGGGAGGUCACUCUACUCUCUACUGUUCACAUGUCACAUAAAACAAUAUUGUCAUUCAUCUAAAACAAUCAACAUCUUCACAUGCAAAUGUCAUCACAAGGACUUUUUCCAAGGCUUGUAUUAUGGCUAGGCUAACAAGAAAAUUGGUUUUUCUGGAAUACAAAAUCCUCAAGUUAAGAGAUUUUAAAUCAUCUUUCAAGGUUCAAACACUCUCUUUUUAACCAAUCUCACUCAUUCCCAGCUUUUCCCUUUUUCAUUUUACAUUGAGUUCUUUUUAC